GACGAACGCUGGCGGCGUGCUUAACACAUGCAAGUCGAACGGAAAGGCCCUGCUUUUGUGGGGUGCUCGAGUGGCGAACGGGUGAGUAACACGUGAGUAACCUGCCCUUGACUUUGGGAUAACUUCAGGAAACUGGGGCUAAUACCGGAUAGGAGCUCCUGCUGCAUGGUGGUGGUUGGAAAGUUUCGGCGGUUGGGGAUGGAUUCGCGGCUUAUCAGCUUGUUGGUGGGGUAGUGGCAUACCAAGGGUUUGAGGGGUAGCCGACCUGGGAGGGUGACCGGGCACCAUGGGACUACGAGAGGGAGCAGAAGGCAACGGGACGCAACAGGGGGGAAUAUUGCGGAAUGGGCCGAAGUCUGAUGCAGCAACGUCGCGUGCGGAAUACCGGGCUUCGGGUUGUAAACAGCUUUCGAAUGUGACGAAGAGUGCGUGACGGUAAUGGGUAAAGAAGCAACGGCUAACUACGUG
RNAcentral lists this ribosomal RNA (468 nucleotides) under uncultured bacterium. Its description in RNAcentral is "partial 16S ribosomal RNA". It matches the Rfam family "Bacterial small subunit ribosomal RNA", at positions 28 to 507 of the family's 1533-position model. The record is from RNAcentral.